Molecule: ribosomal RNA, 462 nt
Filed under: uncultured bacterium
Lineage: Bacteria
Description: partial 16S ribosomal RNA
Rfam family: Bacterial small subunit ribosomal RNA
Source: RNAcentral
GACGAACGCUGGCGGCGUGCUUAACACAUGCAAGUCGAACGGAAAGGCCCUUCGGGGUACUCGAGUGGCGCACGGGUGAGUAACACGUGGGUGAUCUGCCCUGCACUUUGGGAUAAGCCUGGGAAACUGGGUCUAAUACCGAAUAGGACCACGCGCUUCAUGGUGUGUGGUGGAAAGCUUUUGCGGUGUGGGAUGGGCCCGCGGCCUAUCAGCUUGUUGGUGGGGUAAUGGCCUACCAAGGCGACGACGGGUAGCCGGCCUGCGAGGGUGACCGGCCACACUGGGACUGAGAUACGGCCCAGACUCCUACGGGAGGCAGCAGUGGGGAAUAUUGCACAAUGGGCGCAAGCCUGAUGCAGCGACGCCGCGUGAGGGAUGACGGCCUUCGGGUUGUAAACCUCUUUCACCAGGGACGAAGCGUAAGUGACGGUACCUGGAGAAGAAGCACCGGCCAACUACGUG